Molecule: ribosomal RNA, 551 nt
Filed under: Cossura candida
Lineage: Eukaryota; Metazoa; Annelida; Polychaeta; Cossuridae
Description: partial 16S ribosomal RNA
Rfam family: Archaeal large subunit ribosomal RNA
Source: RNAcentral
UUAACAAAAACAUUGCCUCUAGGCCCCAUAAUUAAAGGUAAGCCCUGCCCUGUGACAUAAGCGUUCAACGGCCGCGGUACCCUGACCGUGCAAAGGUAGCAUAAUAAUUUGCCUUUUAAUUGGAGGCUGGUAUGAAUGGGUCCACGUAAGUUCAACUGUCUCUCCUGUAAUCAUGAAAAUUAAUCUCUAGGUGAAUAAACCUAGAUCUUCUUGAAGGACAAGAAGACCCUGUAGAGCUUUACUAAUAAGUAUCAAUAAAGAAAUAAUUUUAAAACACUUUAUUAUAUACUAAAAGUUUUGUUGGGGCAACAAGGGAACAUCCAAAGCAUCCCUGUUAAUAUUAGAUUCAUAAAUCUUAUAAACGAUAAAAUAAAUUUUAGCUAGAAAAUAAGCUACCUCAGGGAUAACAGGCUAAUCCUUCUCCUGAGUCCUCAUUGGCAGAAGGGUUUGGUACCUCGAUGUUGGCUUAGGGUAUCCUUAAGGUGCAGGAGCCUUUAACGGUAGGUUUGUUCAACCUUUAAAACCCUACGUGAUCUGAGUUCAGACCGGCA